Molecule: ribosomal RNA, 492 nt
Filed under: uncultured bacterium
Lineage: Bacteria
Description: partial 16S ribosomal RNA
Rfam family: Bacterial small subunit ribosomal RNA
Source: RNAcentral
AGUGAACGCUGGCGGUAGGCCUAACACAUGCAAGUCGAACGGCAGCACAGUAAGAGCUUGCUCUUACGGGUGGCGAGUGGCGGACGGGUGAGGCAUACAUCGGAAUCUACUUUUUCGUGGGGGAUAACGUAGGGAAACUUACGCUAAUACCGCAUACGACCUACGGGUGAAAGCAGGGGAUCUUCGGACCUUGCGCGAUUGAAUGAGCCGAUGUCGGAUUAGCUAGUUGGCGGGGUAAAGGCCCACCAAGGCGACGAUCCGUAGCUGGUCUGAGAGGAUGAUCAGCCACACUGGAACUGAGACACGGUCCAGACUCCUACGGGAGGCAGCAGUGGGGAAUAUUGGACAAUGGGCGCAAGCCUGAUCCAGCCAUACCGCGUGGGUGAAGAGGGCCUUCGGGUUGUAAAGCCCUUUUGUUGGGAAAGAAAAGCAGCAGGUUAAUACCCCGCUGUUCUGACGGUACCCAAAGAAUAAGCACCGGCUAACUUCGUG